Molecule: non-coding RNA, 1452 nt
Organism: Xyrichtys novacula (pearly razorfish)
Lineage: Eukaryota; Metazoa; Chordata; Actinopteri; Labriformes; Labridae
Source: the annotation of a GenBank genome assembly
UGUAAAAAAGCAGAUUUAUUGAGAGGGAACUGAGUUUAAUGUGAGGGAUGUUGGUACAAUGUUGACUAGACUAAACUAAAUAUUUAAUUCAUAUGUUAACAUCUAUGAUAAAAAAGUGAAAUUAUUAUUCCUCUUUAUGUCUUUGUGUGUGUGUGUGAACCUUCAGCUGCAGCCGUCAGUUCAGUUUCAGUUCAGUCUGACUGAGGGAGGUUUUUGUACGACGCUUUUUCACUGUGUGAACACCCACUGGCUGUUGAUGUAGUGUUCACUCUGACAGUAGUAAACUGCUGCAUCUUCAGUCUGGACUCCACUGAUGGUUGGAGUGAAACUAGAUCCAGAUCCACUGCCUGAAAAACGACUUGAUAUCCCUGAUACUAGAGUACUAACAGUAUAAAUGAGCGGUUUAGGAGUUUCUCCGUCCUUCUGUUGGUACCAGUGCAGAUAGUUAUUGUUAUAUACAUUCUGACUGACACUACAGCUGAUUUGUGCGGUUCCCCCCAGAACAGAGGUCACUGCUGCAGGCUGAGUCACUGUGUACUGUCCUCUGGACUCUGAGGAUACAGAGACAAACACAGAAAGCAGCGUCAUGGUUUUGUGGGCUUCAUUUCAGAGGGACAGAUGUUCAUAGAGGAGAGGAGUUGGAUUCUCUGGACUUUACCUGUGAAGCAGCAGCAGAGGAGAGUCCAGAUGAGGACGCAGAUCACAGUCAUGUUUCUGAUCAGGAGGAGGAGGAGUUCUGUGUCUUCUGCUGUGAUGAAGGACAGCUGUCAGUCAUCCAGUCUUCAACUCUCAGGACUAUAAAGUCUUCCAGAGCACUGGAGCAUGCUGCUGCUCAUGCAAACUCACUCUCUAUGGAAAUGAUUCCUAUGAAUGGACAAAUGCACUCAUCAACUCUGCUGCAGGUGUUGUGUCAUGUUAUGUUCAGGAAAGAAGGAGAGCUGAAAGAAGACACAAGUUUAGUCCAAAGGUGUUUUUAGAGGAGAGAGAGCUCCUGUCUAUGAAGGCCUUAGUUUCUGGAGUGGACCAUCUCCAUCAGUCUGAGGGUCACCUGAUCCACUACAGAGAGAGAGAUGAAAAAAGAGCUUCAAUAAACUUCAGCACAAGAGGUCACUACAGCUGACUACAGUUGAGAAGAUGAAACUGAUCUCAGCUCUUUCACUUCCCUCUUACUCCAGUAACCAUGGCAACAGACAGGCAUCGCUGCUUAACCAUGACUACAGACACGUUUCAGUGCUAUAACAGAAGUCCUUAGAACCUCUGAAAACCAUGAAAAUAAUAAAGAUUUAAGGUUUUCAAUUUUAUACACUUUGUCAAAAUAAAAAAAAAACAAUUAGCCGUCAGAAUGCAGCCUGCAGCUGUGACCUCUGCUCCGGGAGGAAACGCACAAAUCAGCUGUAGUGUCAGUCAGAAUGUGCAUAACAAUAACUAUCUGCACUGGUACCAACAGAAGGA